Molecule: ribosomal RNA, 242 nt
Filed under: uncultured bacterium
Lineage: Bacteria
Description: partial 16S ribosomal RNA
Rfam family: Bacterial small subunit ribosomal RNA
Source: RNAcentral
UCGGGUGCGAGUAAAGUGGCAAACGGGUGAGUAACGCGUGGGAAUCUACCUAAUAGUACGGGAUAGCCAUUGGAAACGAUGAUUAAUACCGUAUACGCUCUUCGGAGGAAAGAUUUAUUGCUAUUAGAUGAGCCCGCGUUAGAUUAGCUAGUUGGUGGGGUAAUGGCUCACCAAGGCUGCGAUCUAUAGCUGGUCUGAGAGGAUGAUCAGCCACACUGGAACUGAGACACGGACCAGACUCC